Triticum aestivum (bread wheat) is the source of this 1107-nucleotide long non-coding RNA. RefSeq lists it as uncharacterized. The transcript is spliced from 4 exons. Lineage: Eukaryota; Viridiplantae; Streptophyta; Magnoliopsida; Poales; Poaceae. The record is from RefSeq and is a predicted model, not a curated record.
CUGCCGAGCAUCUCUCUUGUCGUUCAUUUAAUAACAAACCAAGCGUAUUUUCUUCUAUUUUCACAUCCUCUGGGCUUUGGUUUGCUUGUAACUAUACGGCGCUUUGCCGAUCUUGAUCAGACUCUGCUCUCCGGCAAACUUCGGGCGCGGAAGCUAGCAACUCCCAGGAAGGUGCAGAUUGCUUUCUGCCUUAGAUGUUGGUGAGGUGAUUACAAUCUAGUAGAAUAGAUCGCCCGUUUGCUUUCCGGCCAGGGAAAGUAUUUAAAUUGUUGGCUGAAGAUAGUUGCUAAUAAAGCUAGGUAACACACCAUGACGUUCCCUUCUUUUUUUAACUAGGCGUUUCUUUUACACAUACACAUGCCAUCGUAUUCAUUUUAUGCCUUUUUUGCAUAUAGAUGGCGCAUGGUGAAGGGUCUGUUCCUUCCAAUGAACUAUCAAUUUGUCAGUUAGCUGAGCGGCAUCUAUAUGAGCCUAAUACUAGUGAAGAGGUCAACCUAGUGAUCAAACAGCAGGUGCUCGCACAUGCGGAUUUGACGCGCCAUCCUCGUGGUUGGAAUGUGGGGUCUACUCUUAGUGACUAUUCUUUUCAUCCACUAGCACCUUAUCCUAAACCUGAUCAUGAAGCCUACACCCUAGGGACCAGGAUGGUAGCAAAAGAUCUAGGUUGGGAUGGUCACACAGUCGAGUAUGUUCCGCAACCCAAAGGCUAUGUUGAGUGGGGCAUCUCUAUAUUUAAUAACUACUCGUUUUGUUUGAAAGGAGAAGCGGAGAACACCGAUUACAUAUAUGGGGCCAUUUAUUGCUCCCUCGGUGAAUAUGAAGUUUCAGAUUCGCUACUAAGGUCAUUACUAGAAAGAUGGGAUCCACAAACAAAUACUUUUCUUUUUUCAUCCGGUGAACGCACUGUGACUCUGCUUGACAUGCUUCUAAUGUCGGGUAUUCCUUCAGUUGGAGAUCCGUACGAAGAAUAUGUUCCCUCGAUAGAUGAUCUAGAACCUUCAAAGCUUAUGUUCUCAAAUUUCUUAUCUGGCCUUUUAGAAGAAUUCUACUGGCUUAGCCGCGAAAACGGGAGUGUGACUUUUCAAGUUUGGUGUGACCAUUUCCAUA